Molecule: small nuclear RNA, 107 nt
Filed under: Catagonus wagneri (Chacoan peccary)
Lineage: Eukaryota; Metazoa; Chordata; Mammalia; Artiodactyla; Tayassuidae
Source: RNAcentral
GUGUUUACUUUGGCAGCACACAUACUAAAAUUAGAAUGAUACAAAGAAGAUUAGUAAGACUCUUGUGCAAGAACGACAUGCAAAUUCAUGAAGUGCUCCAUAUUUUU